UACCAGAGAUAAUAAGGUCAGUAAACAGCAA
This 31-nucleotide non-coding RNA is filed under the name Mus musculus (house mouse). The record is from RNAcentral. Lineage: Eukaryota; Metazoa; Chordata; Mammalia; Rodentia; Muridae.